GAGGGGGGACAGCCCGAGGGGGAGGGGGGGACAGGGCACGCGCAGGUGUGACACAACCACACAGGUGUGACACACACACAUAAACACAGGUGUGACACACACACAAACACAGGUGUGACACAUACAUAAACACAGGUGUGACACACACACAAACACAGGUGUGACACACGCCUGCACAUGCACACAGGUGUGACACGCCCACCCAACAGCCUCAGCACCUGUUGCACACGCACAACACACACAACACGUGUUGGACACAACAGCCGCGCGCGGACAAACAACCGCACACAUACGGACACACAACCGCACACGGACACACGGACACAACACCCGCAGCCCCACAACCCCCACACAACCAUUCGGGUACACACGGACACAACGCACAACCGAACAUGGGUGUACAACCACACAGGGACACGUGACACACGUGGGUGUGACACACAACCAAACAUGGCUGUACAACAGUACAGGGACACGUGACACAGGCAGACGUGAGUGUGACACACAACCGAACACGAACGUGACACACAACCGAACACGGGUGUACAAGUGCACAAGGACAUGUGACACAACCAAACACGGGUGUGACGCACAACCAAACACGGGUGCACGACCGCACUCAAAGUACCCCCACACCACCCCCACGCGGGUGUUUCACCCGCAGAGGGACGGCUGUAGAUGGAAGAACAACCCCCACACAGCCCUCAAACUGACGCGCUCACAGCCACACGCCCGCGCACAACCGCGCGGGAACAGCCCCCACACGCCCCCGGCACGGAGGGACAAUGGCACAGGGACACUGACAGGCAACAGGCAGGGACACAACAGCCGCACACAGGGACGGCUGACACGCCCCCACGGGGAGGGGCACGAGCACAGCCGCACAGACAGCACACACACGACCCUCAGACGGGCGCACAACCGCACAACAACGUGACACAGCCGCACAGGGACGUUUGACAGGCAGAGGCACAACCGCCCAUGGACAAACAACCCGCACACAACCGCACAGGGAUGUGACACAACCGCACAGGGAUGUGACACACAACCGGACGUGAACACACAACAGCCACGGGUACAGGCAGGUGCACAGCCGCACACGAACAACCCCCACACAGCCCUCAUAAGGGUGCACAACCGGACACGGACAAACAACCGGACACGGGGCUUGAUACAAACAACCGGACACGGACAAACAACCCCCAAAGAGCCCUGACACAGACACACGACCAGAGAUGGACAAACAACCGGACACGGACAAACAGCCGGGCAUGCACAGCCCCACAUGGACACGACACGCUCGGAGAGACGGACAAACAACCAGACAAACAACCGGACACGCACAGCCCCACAUGGACAUGACACGCUUGGACAGACGGACAAACAACCAGACAAACAACCGGGCACGCACAAACACACGCACACUUACAGCCCCACACAGACACAACACGCUCGGACAGACGGACGGACAAACACCCACACAAACAACUGGACACACACAAACACCCGGACAUGCACAGCCCCACUCAGACACGACACACUCGGACAGACGGACAAACAACCAGACAAACAACCGGACACGCACAGCCCCACAUGGACACGAGACGCUCGGACAGACAGACAGACAAACACCCGGACACGCACAGCCCCACCUGGACACGACACGCUCGGACAGACAGACAAACACCCGCACCCGCACAAACAA
Molecule: long non-coding RNA, 1705 nt
Organism: Serinus canaria (Common canary)
Lineage: Eukaryota; Metazoa; Chordata; Aves; Passeriformes; Fringillidae
Exons: 3
Source: RefSeq, a predicted model, not a curated record